CGCGGGGUGGAGCAGCCUGGUAGCUCGUCGGGCUCAUAACCCGAAGGUCGUCGGUUCAAAUCCGGCCCCCGCACCCA
This 77-nucleotide transfer RNA is filed under the name Escherichia coli. Its description in RNAcentral is "tRNA-Met". It matches the Rfam family "tRNA". From Rfam's summary of the family: Transfer RNA (tRNA) molecules are approximately 80 nucleotides in length. Lineage: Bacteria; Pseudomonadati; Pseudomonadota; Gammaproteobacteria; Enterobacterales; Enterobacteriaceae. The record is from RNAcentral. RNAcentral also lists the same sequence under 1 other name.